AGCGAACGCUGGCGGCGUGCCUACACAUGCCAGUCGAACGUGAAAGGGAGCAAUCCCAAGUAAAGUGGCGUACGGGUGAGUAACACAUAGGUAAUCUACCCCCAGAAUCUGGAAUAACCGGCCGAAAGGCUGGCUAAUACUGGAUAGAGCGACGGAAUCCGUAAUUGGGUUUUUCGGGAAAGGGAGCCUGUAAAAAGGCCUUCGUUCUGGGAUGAGCCUGCGUCCCAUCAGCUAGUUGGUGAGGUAAAAGCUUACCAAGGCAAUGACGGGUAGCUGGUCUGAGAGGACGAUCAGCCACACUGGAACUGAAACACGGUCCAGACUCCUACGGGAGGCAGCAGUGGGGAAUCUUGCGCAAUGGACGAAAGUCUGACGCAGCAACGCCGCGUGAGUGAAGAAGGCCUUCGGGUUGUAAAGCUCUGUCGAGUGGGACGAAAAUGCUUGGAGUUCACAGCUCCAGGAACUGACGGUACCACUAAAGGAAGCACCGGCUAACUCCGUG
Molecule: ribosomal RNA, 502 nt
Filed under: uncultured bacterium
Lineage: Bacteria
Description: partial 16S ribosomal RNA
Rfam family: Bacterial small subunit ribosomal RNA
Source: RNAcentral